CAUAAGUACCAGGGGUGCUGGAAUAAUGGCCGGCUGAGAGUGUGUCCCACAUGACACUGACCCUUAUACCUGAUCUGGGUAAUGCCAGCGUAGGAACGUAACCGAUAUGAUUU
Molecule: non-coding RNA, 113 nt
Filed under: Paenibacillus antarcticus
Lineage: Bacteria; Bacillati; Bacillota; Bacilli; Caryophanales; Paenibacillaceae
Description: TPP sequence
Rfam family: TPP riboswitch aptamer (THI element)
About the family: Vitamin B(1) in its active form thiamin pyrophosphate (TPP) is an essential coenzyme that is synthesised by coupling of pyrimidine and thiazole moieties in bacteria.
Source: Rfam by way of RNAcentral